UAACUCUGGUGUCUCCUCAUUUGCGGAUAAAUCUUUCGCCUUUUACUAAAGAUUUCCGUGGGG
Molecule: non-coding RNA, 63 nt
Organism: Trichobilharzia regenti
Lineage: Eukaryota; Metazoa; Platyhelminthes; Trematoda; Strigeidida; Schistosomatidae
Source: Rfam